Molecule: ribosomal RNA, 779 nt
Filed under: uncultured Neocallimastigales
Lineage: Eukaryota; Fungi; Neocallimastigomycota; Neocallimastigomycetes; Neocallimastigales
Description: partial large subunit ribosomal RNA
Rfam family: Eukaryotic large subunit ribosomal RNA
Source: RNAcentral
AGAGAGAGACAUGCGUGCAUAUCAAUAAGCGGAGGAAAAGAAACUAACAUAGGAUUCCCCUCAGUAACGGCGAGUGAAGCGGGAAGAGCUCAAAUUUGAAAUCUUCAAGGGUUCUACCUUUACGAAUUGUAGUUUAAAGAAGUGUUUUCUGUUGAGGUUUUGGUAAAGGGUUCUUUGGAAUAGGACAUCAUAGAGGGUGAGAAUCCCGUAUUUGACCAUUACUUUCCAACUUUGUGAUACACUUUCAAAGAGUCGGAUUGUUUGGGAAUGCAGUCCAAAAUGGGUGGUAAAUUUCAUCUAAAGCUAAAUAUUGGCGAGAGACCGAUAGCGAACAAGUACCGUGAGGGAAAGAUGAAAAGAACUUUGAAAAGAGAGUUAAACAGUACGUGAAAUUGUCAAAAGGGAAGCGUUUGACACCAGUGUUGUUUUCUCGAAAAUCAAUUAAAAAAGGCAGGAUUUUGUGUUGUAUUGACUUUAUCAGCUUUCUGCACUCUUUUCUUGUCUUUUUUAAUGCACUUUUCGUUUAACAAGUCAACAUCAAUUUCUUUUGUUGUAAAAGGGUCAUUGGAAGGUGGCUUUCUUUUCGGAGAAAGUGUUUAUAGCCUUUGGCCUCUGCAAUCGGAGAGAUUGAGGUCUGCAGCGUAGAUCCUUCGGGGUUAGAUACAUUUGUGCUAAGUUAUAGCCUUUCAUAGACAACUUGUUGACUAUGAUCAGUCAUGUAGCUUACUCGCUUAUGCUAUUUUACCUACGCUUAGGAUGUUGAUGUGAUACUGCGAGCA